UACGUAGGUGGCAAGCGUUGUCCGGAUUUACUGGGCGUAAAGGGCGUGCAGGCGGUCUGUUAAGUGCAGGGUGAAAGCUCCCGGCUCAACUGGGAGAGGUCCUUGCAUACUGGCGGACUUGAGGGGGGUAGAGGAAAGUGGAAUUCCCGGUGUAGUGGUGAUAUGCGUAGAUAUCGGGAGGAACACCUGUGGCGAAGGCGGCGUCCUGGACCAACACUGACACUGAUGAGCGAAAGCCAGGGGAGCAAACGGG
RNAcentral lists this ribosomal RNA (253 nucleotides) under uncultured bacterium. RNAcentral's name for it is "partial 16S ribosomal RNA". It matches the Rfam family "Bacterial small subunit ribosomal RNA", at positions 524 to 776 of the family's 1533-position model. The record is from RNAcentral.